RNAcentral lists this ribosomal RNA (495 nucleotides) under uncultured bacterium. RNAcentral's name for it is "bacterial SSU rRNA". It matches the Rfam family "Bacterial small subunit ribosomal RNA", at positions 430 to 917 of the family's 1533-position model. The record is from RNAcentral.
CCGCUUUUGUUCGGGAAGAAUCCUCUGGGCUAAUACCCCGGGGGAUGACGGUACCGGAAGAAGAAGCACCGGCUAACUACGUGCCAGCAACCGCGGUAAUACGUAGGGUGCGAGCGUUAUCCGGAAUUAUUGGGCGUAAAGAGCUCGUAGGCGGUUUGUCGCGUCUGUCGUGAAAGUCCGGGGCUUAACCCCGGAUCUGCGGUGGGUACGGGUAGACUAGAGUGCAGUAGGGGAGACUGGAAUUCCUGGUGUAGCGGUGGAAUGCGCAGAUAUCAGGAGGAACACCGAUGGCGAAGGCAGGUCUCUGGGCUGUAACUGACGCUGAGGAGCGAAAGCAUGGGGAGCGAACAGGAUUAGAUACCCUGGUAGUCCAUGCCGUAAACGUUGGGCACUAGGUGUGGGGACCAUUCCACGGUUUCCGCGCCGCAGCUAACGCAUUAAGUGCCCCGCCUGGGGAGUACGGCCGCAAGGCUAAAACUCAAAGGAAUUGACGGA